AGAGUUUGAUCCUGGCUCAGGAUGAACGCUAGCGGCAGGCUUAUACAUGCAAGUCGAGGGGCAGCACGGUUAGCAAUAACUGGUGGCGACCGGCGCACGGGUGCGUAACACGUAUACAAUCUACCUUAAACAGGGGGAUAGCCUUUCGAAAGAGAGAUUAAUACCCCGUAAUAAAUUGAACGGCAUCGUUUGAUUUUGUAAAGCUCCGGCGGUUUGAGAUGAGUAUGCGUCUGAUUAGCUAGUUGGUGAGGUAACGGCUCACCAAGGCGACGAUCAGUAGGGGAUCUGAGAGGAUAACCCCCCACACUGGUACUGAGACACGGACCAGACUCCUACGGGAGGCAGCAGUAAGGAAUAUUGGUCAAUGGAGGCAACUCUGAACCAGCCAUGCCGCGUGCAGGAUGACGGCCCUAUGGGUUGUAAACUGCUUUUAUACAAGAGAAAACCCUGGUACGUGUACCAGGUUGAUAGUAUUGUAAGAAUAAGCAUCGGCUAACUUCGUG
RNAcentral lists this ribosomal RNA (503 nucleotides) under uncultured bacterium. Its description in RNAcentral is "bacterial SSU rRNA". It matches the Rfam family "Bacterial small subunit ribosomal RNA", at positions 8 to 507 of the family's 1533-position model. The record is from RNAcentral.